GUCUUACUCGGGAACGAUCGCGGGUGUGCCGAUCAAUCAGGACGACCUGGGGUCGUCUACUAUGCUGACUGAUCGCCUAUUUCCAUCGUGAUGCGUCCAUUCUGCGUGCGCUUGAGAUGCCAAAGAAAAAAUUAUACUUAUACAAAAGCUGUGACAAUACUUCGGUUGACUGAGCGAGGUCAUCAUGCGCAUGAAUCGGCUACGUGUAAUCGGACAGGAAGACGAUCGCACCUGCACACGCGUGCGGGACAUCAAAGGCAACCCGUGCGGAUGUAAUAAAUCGACGUCACAUCGAUUCUUAACGUGCGAUAAUGAAAUCAUUGUACCAUAUUUAUACUUUGACCUGGUGGUCACCUGGUUGUCAGACGUGCCACGGAAGUAAAUUAUCAGAUGUAUACCGAAUAUGUAUGUGGAUCUUCGUAAAUGUAAAGCUCGUGUAAACUUUACUUUUUCUUCUUAUAAUAUGCAAAUAUAUUCCUAAUAGUCUAUUCAAGGCGUAUCAAUGAAAAGACUCGUCGAAAAUGUAACCCGAAGUAUGUUUAGAUAAAAU
Long non-coding RNA from Formica exsecta, 550 nucleotides. RefSeq lists it as uncharacterized. NCBI's taxonomy places the organism in Eukaryota, Metazoa, Arthropoda, Insecta, Hymenoptera, Formicidae. The transcript has 2 exons. The record is from RefSeq and is a predicted model, not a curated record.